RNAcentral lists this ribosomal RNA (492 nucleotides) under uncultured bacterium. Its description in RNAcentral is "partial 16S ribosomal RNA". It matches the Rfam family "Bacterial small subunit ribosomal RNA", at positions 29 to 507 of the family's 1533-position model. The record is from RNAcentral.
AGUGAACGCUGGCGGUAGACCUAACACAUGCAAGUCGAACGGCAGCACAGUAAGAGCUUGCUCUUACGGGUGGCGAGUGGCGGACGGGUGAGGAAUACAUCGGAAUCUACUUUUUCGUGGGGGAUAACGUAGGGAAACUUACGCUAAUACCGCAUACGCCCUACGGGUGAAAGCAGGGGAUCUUCGGACCUUGCGCGAUUGAAUGAGCCGAUGUCGGAUUAGCUAGUUGGCGGGGUAAAGGCCCACCAAGGCGACGAUCCGUAGCUGGUCUGAGAGGAUGAUCAGCCACACUGGAACUGAGACACGGUCCAGACUCCUACGGGAGGCAGCAGUGGGGAAUAUUGGACAAUGGGCGCAAGCCUGAUCCAGCCAUACCGCGUGGGUGAAGAAGGCCUUCGGGUUGUAAAGCCCUUUUGUUGGGAAAGAAAAGCAGCAGGUUAAUACCCCGCUGUUCUGACGGUACCCAAAGAAUAAGCACCGGCUAACUUCGUG